GCCUCAAACAUGCAAGUCUAGGGGGUGUACCAAUACAUCACCGGCGGACGGGUGCGUAACGCGUGGGAAUAUACCUAUUGGUUCGGAACAACUGAGGGAAACUUCAGCCUAAUACCGAAUGUGCCCUAACGGGGAAAGAUUUAUCGCCAAUGGAUUAGCCCGCGUUCGAUUAGCUAGUUGGUGGGGUAACGGCCCACCAAGGCGACGAUCGAUAGCUGUUCUGAGAGGAAGAUCAGCCACACUGGGACUGAGACACGGCCCAAACUCCUACGGGAGGCAGCAGUGGGGAAUAUUGGACAAUGGGCGCAAGCCUGAUCCAGCAAUGCCGCGUGUGUGAAGAAGGUCUUCGGAUUGUAAAGCACUUUCGACGGGGACGAUGAUGACGGUACCCGUAGAAGAAGCCCCGGCUAACUUCGUGCCAGCAGCCGCGGUAAU
This 435-nucleotide ribosomal RNA is filed under the name uncultured bacterium. RNAcentral describes it as "bacterial SSU rRNA". It matches the Rfam family "Bacterial small subunit ribosomal RNA", at positions 46 to 524 of the family's 1533-position model. The record is from RNAcentral.